RNAcentral lists this ribosomal RNA (468 nucleotides) under uncultured bacterium. RNAcentral describes it as "partial 16S ribosomal RNA". It matches the Rfam family "Bacterial small subunit ribosomal RNA", at positions 28 to 507 of the family's 1533-position model. The record is from RNAcentral.
GACGAACGCUGGCGGCGUGCUUAACACAUGCAAGUCGAACGGAAAGGCCCUGCUUUUGUGGGGUGCUCGAGUGGCGAACGGGUGAGUAACACGUGAGUAACCUGCCCUUGACUUUGGGAUAACUUCAGGAAACUGGGGCUAAUACCGUAUAGGAGCUCCUGCUGCAGGGUGGGGGUGGGAAAGUUUCGGCGGUUGGGGAUGGACUCGCGGCUUAUCAGCUUGUUGGUUGGGUAGUGGCUUACCAAGGCUUUGACGGGUAGCCGGCCUGAGAGGGUGACCGGCCACAUUGGGACUGAGAUACGGCCCAGACUCCUACGGGAGGCAGCAGUGGGGAAUAUUGCACAAUGGGCGGAAGCCUGAUGCAGCAACGCCGCGUGCGGGAUGACGGCCUUCGGGUUGUAAACCGCUUUCGCCUGUGACGAAGCGUGAGUGACGGUAAUGGGUAAAGAAGCACCGGCUAACUACGUG